Long non-coding RNA from Polypterus senegalus (gray bichir), 190 nucleotides. RefSeq lists it as uncharacterized. Lineage: Eukaryota; Metazoa; Chordata; Cladistia; Polypteriformes; Polypteridae. The transcript has 3 exons. The record is from RefSeq and is a predicted model, not a curated record.
UUUUCAAAGCAAAGGACAACAAUAUGUUGCUUGUGGGCAAUGCAGUUUUUCAGAAAGCUUGGCUGGAUCAAAAACUUGCAGUCACUGCGGUCCUUCAGGACCAAUGCUGAUAACCCUUGGUGUACAUCAUGGCAGAAGACAGAAGAGUAGUCAAGAAGGCUGAGCUUAAAGGCUAUUUAUAUUGAUCUGC